Molecule: ribosomal RNA, 440 nt
Filed under: uncultured bacterium
Lineage: Bacteria
Description: partial 16S ribosomal RNA
Rfam family: Bacterial small subunit ribosomal RNA
Source: RNAcentral
CCUACGGGUGGCAGCAGUGGGGGAUAUUGCACAAUGGGGGGAACCCUGAUGCAGCGACGCCGCGUGGGUGAAGAAGCGCCUCGGCGCGUAAAGCUCUGUCAGUAGGGAAGAAAAUGACGGUACCUGAAGAAUAAGCCCCGGCUAAAUAUGUGCCAGCUGCCGCGGUAAUACGUAGGGGGCAAGCGUUAUCCGGAUUUACUGGGUGUAAAGGGGGCGCAGACGGCGAUGAAAGCCAGGUGUGAAAGCCCGGGGCUCAACCACGGGACUGCACUUGGAACUGGGUGGCUGGAGUGCAGGAGGGGCAGGCGGAAUUCGGGGUGUAGCGGUGAAAUGCGUAGAUAUCAGGAGGAACACCGGUGGCGAAGGCGGCCUGCUGGACUGCAACUGACGUUGAGGCCCGAAAGCGUGGGGAGCAAACAGGAUUAGAUACCCCUGUAGUC